Stegodyphus dumicola is the source of this 73-nucleotide non-coding RNA. The record is from the annotation of a RefSeq genome assembly. Lineage: Eukaryota; Metazoa; Arthropoda; Arachnida; Araneae; Eresidae.
GCUGUCGUGGUGUAAUGGUUAGCACGCUCGACGCAAGAUCGAGAGGUCCUUGGUUCGAGUCCCGGCGAGGGCA